CUACUGGAGGCAGCAGUCGGUACUCAUGAGCAUUGAACGAAAGUCUGACGCAUCCGCGUCCGUCGCAUGGCACGACCGUCUUCGGAUUGUACAUCCACCGUCCGGAAGGGACGAAUAAGCCGCAAGACGGGUGACGGUACCUCCAUAGGAAGCACCGGCUAAGUCAGUGCCAGCAGCCGCGGUAAUACGGAGGGUGCGAGCGUUGUCCGGAAUCAUCGGGCCUAUAGAGCUCGUAGGCCGUUCGUCGCGUCUGCCGCGAAAGUCCGGGGCUUAACUCCGGAUCUGCGGUGGGUACGGGCAGACUAGAGUGCAGUAGGGGAGACUGCAAUUCCUGGUGUAGCGGUGAAAUGCGCAGAUAUCAGGAGGAACACCGAUGGCGAAGGCAGGUCUCUGGGCUGUAACUGACGGUGAGGAGUGAAAGCAUGGGGAGCGAACAGGAUUAGAUACCCUGGUAGUCCAUGCCGUAAACGAUGGGCACUAGGCGUCGGGGGGAGCGACCCUCCCGGCGCCGUCGCUAACGCAGUAAGUGCCCCGCCUGGGGAGUACGGCCGCAAGGCUGAAACUCAAAGGAAUUGACGGGGGCCCGCACAAGCGGUGGAGCUUGUGGUUUAAUUCGAAGCAACGCGAAGAACCUUACCUGGGCUUGACAUGCACGGGAAAGCCGGUGGAAACAUCGGUUCCUCUUCGGAGUCCGUGCACAGGUGCUGCAUGGCUGUCGUCAGCUCGUGUCGUGAGAUGUUGGGUUAAGUCCCGCAACGAGCGCAACCCUCGUCCCUAGUUACCAGCGGGUUAUGCCGGGGACUCAUGGGAGACUGCCGGGGUCAACUCGGAGGAAGGUGGGGACGACGUCAAAUCAUCAUGCCCCUUAUGUCUUGGGCUUCACGCAUGCUACAAUGGCCGGUACAAAGGGUUGCGAUACUGUGAGGUGGAGCUAAUCCCAAAAAGCCGGUCUCAGUUCGGAUUGAGGUCUGCAACUCGACCUCAUGAAGUUGGAGUCGCUAGUAAUCGCAGAUCAGCAACGCCGCGGUGAAUACGUUCCCGGG
Molecule: ribosomal RNA, 1043 nt
Filed under: uncultured bacterium
Lineage: Bacteria
Description: bacterial SSU rRNA
Rfam family: Bacterial small subunit ribosomal RNA
Source: RNAcentral